GGUGCUGUAGCUCAGUCGGCAGAGUACGUCCUUCAUACGGACGGGGUCGAUGGAUCGUUCCCAUCCAGCACCACCA
RNAcentral lists this transfer RNA (76 nucleotides) under Variovorax sp. RA8. RNAcentral's name for it is "tRNA-Met". The record is from RNAcentral. Lineage: Bacteria; Pseudomonadati; Pseudomonadota; Betaproteobacteria; Burkholderiales; Comamonadaceae.